RNAcentral lists this ribosomal RNA (117 nucleotides) under bacterium. The record is from RNAcentral.
UCCGGUGGUUUUAGCGAAGGGGUCACACCCGUUCCCAUUUCGAACACGGAAGUUAAGCCCUUCAGCGCCGAUGGUACUGCAUGGGUAACUGUGUGGGAGAGUAGGACGUUGCCGGAU